Molecule: ribosomal RNA, 453 nt
Filed under: uncultured marine bacterium
Lineage: Bacteria
Description: bacterial SSU rRNA
Rfam family: Bacterial small subunit ribosomal RNA
Source: RNAcentral
AGAGUUUGAUCAUGGCUCAGGAUGAACGCUAGCGGCAGGCCUAAUACAUGCAAGUCGAGGGGUAAGAGUCAGCUUGCUGACUACACGACCGGCGCACGGGUGAGUAACGCGUAUGCAACCUACCUUUAACAGAGGAAUAGCCCCGAGAAAUCGGGAUUAAUACCACAUAACAUUAUGAUAUGGCAUCAUAUUAUAAUUAAAACUCUGGUGGUUAAAGAUGGGCAUGCGUGACAUUAGCUUGUUGGUGAGGUAACUGCUCACCAAGGCAACGAUGUCUAGGGGUUCUGAGAGGAUGAUCCCCCACACUGGUACUGAGACACGGACCAGACUCCUACGGGAGGCAGCAGUAAGGAAUAUUGCGCAAUGGAGGAAACUCUGACGCAGCCAUGCCGCGUGCAGGAUUGAAGGCCUUAUGGGUCGUAAACUGCUUUUAUUUAGGAAUAAACUUUCGUA